RNAcentral lists this ribosomal RNA (446 nucleotides) under uncultured bacterium. RNAcentral's name for it is "partial 16S ribosomal RNA". It matches the Rfam family "Bacterial small subunit ribosomal RNA", at positions 329 to 792 of the family's 1533-position model. The record is from RNAcentral.
GGCCAGACUCCUACGGGAGGCAGCAGUGGGGGAUAUUGCACAAUGGGGGAAACCCUGAUGCAGCGACGCCGCGUGGGUGAAGAAGCGCCUAGGCGCGUAAAGCCCUGUCAGCAGGGAAGAAAAUGACGGUACCUGAAGAAGAAGCCCCGGCUAACUACGUGCCAGCAGCCGCGGUAAUACGUAGGGGGCAAGCGUUAUCCGGAUUUACUGGGUGUAAAGGGGGCGCAGACGGCGAUGCAAGCCAGGAGUGAAAGGCCGGGGCCCAACCCCGGGACUGCUCUUGGAACUGCGUGGCUGGAGUGCAGGAGGGGCAGGCGGAAUUCCUGGUGUAGCGGUGAAAUGCGUAGAUAUCAGGAGGAACACCGGUGGCGAAGGCGGCCUGCUGGACUGCAACUGACGUUGAGGCCCGAAAGCGUGGGGAGCAAACAGGAUUAGAUACCCUUGUA